AUUUAAGUGGUUUAAUAAAAAUUUUGACUUGUGGCGUCAGCGAUGUGUUUGGGCACCUUAAAUA
RNAcentral lists this transfer RNA (64 nucleotides) under Tetraphalerus bruchi. RNAcentral's name for it is "tRNA-His". Lineage: Eukaryota; Metazoa; Arthropoda; Insecta; Coleoptera; Ommatidae. The record is from RNAcentral.